RNAcentral lists this long non-coding RNA (449 nucleotides) under Lotus japonicus. Its description in RNAcentral is "long non-coding RNA (LJAP_LNC001643)". The record is from RNAcentral. Lineage: Eukaryota; Viridiplantae; Streptophyta; Magnoliopsida; Fabales; Fabaceae.
AGCCCUCACCUGAUCAUAAAUCAAGUGGAGAAUUUAGUCUUAACGGUGGUGGGUCUACAACGGCAGACAGUGAAACCUUUAUGGCGUGCUCAUGCGGUUCUGUCCUUACUAGUUUUCCCUCUAAAUUAGCUAUUGACCAGCACAACUUCUAUGGGUUUAACACAGCUCCUGGAGAAAGUUUUAUGACUGCUGAGAAGAGUUGUUCUUACAAAAAUGUUGAUAAUGCCUGUUUUGACAGUGUUAGUGAUUAUAAGUCUUCUCCUAGUUUGUUUACCUCUGGGUUUAACACAACCCCUGGAGAAAGUUUUAUGACUGCUGAGAAGAGCUGCUUUUACAAAAAUGCUAAUAAUGCCAGUUUUGACAGUGAUUAUAUGUCUUCUCCUAGUUUGUUUAACUUGGAAGAUCGAUAUUCACAAGAAUCCGGAGCAUCUGAAAUAGUUAUUGAAGAU